Molecule: ribosomal RNA, 83 nt
Filed under: Paenibacillus taichungensis
Lineage: Bacteria; Bacillati; Bacillota; Bacilli; Caryophanales; Paenibacillaceae
Description: partial 16S ribosomal RNA
Rfam family: Bacterial small subunit ribosomal RNA
Source: RNAcentral
UUUAUUGGAGAGUUUGAUCCUGGCUCAGGACGAACGCUGGCGGCAUGCCUAAUACAUGCAAGUCGAGCGGACUUGAAGAGAAG